CUCCCAGAGGCGCGGCUGCGUGCUCCAGGCGAGAAUCGGGAGGAGGAGCCGCCUGCAAGGAUAGGCCCAGGAGCAAUGGCGUCCAAAGAGGAACAAGUGGUUAAAAAUCUCAACAUGGAAAAUGCCAACCAGGAAAA
Myotis davidii is the source of this 137-nucleotide long non-coding RNA. RefSeq lists it as uncharacterized. The transcript is spliced from 4 exons. NCBI's taxonomy places the organism in Eukaryota, Metazoa, Chordata, Mammalia, Chiroptera, Vespertilionidae. The record is from RefSeq and is a predicted model, not a curated record.